CGGGGCGUGGCGCAGCUUGGCAGCGCGCUUGACUGGGGGUCAAGAGGUCGGAGGUUCAAAUCCUCUCGCCCCGA
This 74-nucleotide transfer RNA is filed under the name Acidobacteriota bacterium. Its description in RNAcentral is "Acidobacteria bacterium (sponge metagenome) tRNA-Pro". It matches the Rfam family "tRNA". Rfam says of the family: Transfer RNA (tRNA) molecules are approximately 80 nucleotides in length. Their secondary structure includes four short double-helical elements and three loops (D, anti-codon, and T loops). The record is from RNAcentral. Lineage: Bacteria; Pseudomonadati; Acidobacteriota.